This is a long non-coding RNA of Manis pentadactyla (Chinese pangolin), 493 nucleotides long. RefSeq lists it as uncharacterized. The record is from RefSeq and is a predicted model, not a curated record. NCBI's taxonomy places the organism in Eukaryota, Metazoa, Chordata, Mammalia, Pholidota, Manidae. The transcript is spliced from 5 exons.
GAUCUCAGAUCAUAUUAGAAGACUCUUUGCCUAUCACUAAGUUUGGAAAUCAGAACCUCCUACAAUGAAAUUCCUGGUUUUGCUUUGUAUUUUGAGUGUGCUUGAGCAGAGAACAUGGGGAAAUGUUGAGAGUAACAGUAAUUUCUUCAGUGAAGAGAAUUUAAGUGACCCUGACUUUAAUGAUGAUCAUUUUGAACACCAACCUCCAGAAGAAAAUUUGCCUUUUUCUCCAGUAUAUGAUGACUCUUCAUUUUUAACAUCCCUUUAAAGAACAAAAGAUAUGGAUCUCCAAAACAUCUCUUUUGGAAUACUGAUACGUAUACUUCUAACAAAUCAAAAUCUUACUCUGGAUUCCUUAUUCAAGAGUUCGGUUCUAUUAUGAUGGCAUCCUUGGACUAUAUCAUAUACACUAAAGAAAAUGGGUAACAACUGUAAUAGCUUUGGAAUUUGAAUUUCUUUACUUUUAUUAAUAAAUCUCCUUUGCAAGCAUGUA